GGCAUGGGCCUGGGUGCUGUGCUUAGAGCCAGAAGUGGGCAGGUCGCGAGAUACUUGAGAGGCAGAGCCCACAGGACUUGCUGAUGGCUUCUGUGAGGGGGAUGACAGGGAAGGUGAGGAAUCAAGGCAGAGUCUCAGCUUUGGGAUCUGAGAUUCAUUCAACAAAUAAUUAAUUCAUUGCCGCGUGCCAGGCCUAUUCUAAAAGUUGAGUAUAUGAAGACAACAGUGGUGAUGGCCUCACGCAGUAAUCCCAGCACUUUGGGAUGCUGAGGCAGGAGAAUCGCUUGAACCCGGGAGGCGCAGGUUGUAGGGAGACGAAAUCGCGCCACUGGCACUCCUGCCUGGGCGACAGAGGGAGGCUGCGUCUCAA
Molecule: long non-coding RNA, 370 nt
Filed under: Pan troglodytes (chimpanzee)
Lineage: Eukaryota; Metazoa; Chordata; Mammalia; Primates; Hominidae
Description: lincRNA
Source: RNAcentral